RNAcentral lists this ribosomal RNA (406 nucleotides) under uncultured bacterium. RNAcentral's name for it is "partial 16S ribosomal RNA". It matches the Rfam family "Bacterial small subunit ribosomal RNA", at positions 30 to 526 of the family's 1533-position model. The record is from RNAcentral.
AUCGAACGCUGGCGGCAGGCCUAACACAUGCAAGUCGAGCGCGCGGCGGACGGGCGAGCAUUGUCUGGGCAACUGCCUGAUGGAGCGGGAUAACUACUGGAAACGGUAGCUAAUACCGCAUACCAUCAGAUGUGCCUAGAUGGGAUUAGCUAGUGGGAGGGGUAAUGGUUCACCUAGGCGACGAUCCCUAGCUGGUCUGAGAGGAUGACCGUACACACUGGAACUGAGACACGGACCAGACUCCAACGGGCGGCAGCAGUGGGGAAUAUUGCAAAAUGGGCGACAGCCUGAUGCAGCCAUGCAGCGUGUGUGAAGAAGGCCUUCGGGUUGUAAAGAACUUUCAGCGAGGAGGCGUUACUCGCAGAGGAAGCACCGGCUAACUCCGUGCCAGCAGCCGCGGUAAUUC